Molecule: ribosomal RNA, 88 nt
Filed under: Sphenodon punctatus (tuatara)
Lineage: Eukaryota; Metazoa; Chordata; Lepidosauria; Sphenodontia; Sphenodontidae
Source: RNAcentral
GCUGCCUGGACACUUGUAUGAAUCUCAGCAAACUAAGCAGGUUUGGGCCUGUUUAGCACUGGGAAGGGAGACCUCAGGAGAGAUGGUC